GACAGAGGGUGCAAACGUUGCUCGGAAUCACUGGGCGUAAAGGGCGUGUAGGCGGGAAGGAAAGUCAGAUGUGAAAUCCCCAGGCUCAACCUGGGAACUGCAUUUGAAACUCCCUUUCUUGAGUACCGGAGAGGAAAGUGGAAUUCCUGGUGUAGAGGUGAAAUUCGUAGAUAUUGGGAAGAACACCGGUGGCGAAGGCGGCGACCUGGUCCGAUACUGACGCUGAGGAGCGAAAGCGUGGGGAGCGAACAGG
Molecule: ribosomal RNA, 253 nt
Filed under: uncultured bacterium
Lineage: Bacteria
Description: partial 16S ribosomal RNA
Rfam family: Bacterial small subunit ribosomal RNA
Source: RNAcentral